GAUGAACGCUGGCGGCGUGCCUAAUACAUGCAAGUCGAGCGAACGGACGAGAAGCUUGCUUCUCUGAUGUUAGCGGCGGACGGGUGAGUAACACGUGGAUAACCUACCUAUCAGACUGGGAUAAUUUCGGGAAACCGGCGCUAAUACCGGAUAAUAUUAUGAACCGCAUGGUUCAAAAGUGAAAGACGGUCUUGCUGUCACUUAUAGAUGGAUCCGCGCUGCAUUAGCUAGUUGGUACGUUAACGGCUUAUCAAGGCAACGAUGCAUAGACGGCGUGAGAGGGGGGUCGGCCACACUGGAGGUGGGACACGGUCCAGACUCCUAAGGGAGGCAGCAGUAGGGAAUCUUCCGCAGUAGGCGAAAGCCUUACGCAGCAACGCCGCGUGAGUGAUGAAGGUCUUCGGAUCGUAAAACUCUGUUAUUAGGGGAGAACAUAUGUGUAAGUAACUGUGCACAUCUUGACGGUACCUAGUCAGAAAGCCACGGCUAACUACGUG
This 497-nucleotide ribosomal RNA is filed under the name uncultured bacterium. Its description in RNAcentral is "partial 16S ribosomal RNA". It matches the Rfam family "Bacterial small subunit ribosomal RNA", at positions 28 to 507 of the family's 1533-position model. The record is from RNAcentral.